CAACCCCUCAAGCACGGCUUGUGUUAUGGGCGGACGUCCCCUUAACCGGUGGACGGGCCCCAAAUGCAGUGACCGAGGCCGUGAUUCCGGCGCCCGAGCGAAUGGGAUUUCCACCAGCUCUAGUGGCCCGGCCGGUCCUCAGGUCCCGACCAAUUUCAUUUCAA
RNAcentral lists this unclassified non-coding RNA (164 nucleotides) under uncultured Arthropsis. RNAcentral's name for it is "sequence contains ITS2". The record is from RNAcentral. Lineage: Eukaryota; Fungi; Ascomycota; Sordariomycetes.